Molecule: small nucleolar RNA, 102 nt
Organism: Macaca fascicularis (crab-eating macaque)
Lineage: Eukaryota; Metazoa; Chordata; Mammalia; Primates; Cercopithecidae
Source: Ensembl
GCGCUUCUGUGGUUCAUAAGUGUGAUGGCUGGGCUCACACGCAUGUGUGAGAUGUGCCACCCUUGAACCUUCUUAUGACGUCGGCACAUUACCCAUCUGAUG